AUGAAGUCCCUGUCUCUGCUCCUCGCUGUGGCUUUGGGCCUGGCGACCGCCGUCUCAGCAGGACCCGCGGUGAUCGAGUGUUGGUUCGUGGAGGAUGCGAGCGGAAAGGGCCUGGCCAAGAGACCCGGUGCACUGCUGUUGCGCCAGGGACCGGGGGAACCGCCGCCCCGGCCGGACCUCGACCCUGAGCUCUAUCUCAGUGUACACGACCCCGCGGGCGCCCUCCAGGCUGCCUUCAGGCGGUAUCCCCGGGGCGCCCCCGCACCACACUGCGAGAUGAGCCGCUUCGUGCCUCUCCCCGCCUCUGCGAAAUGGGCCAGCGGCCUGACCCCCGCGCAGAACUGCCCGCGGGCCCUGGAUGGGGCUUGGCUGAUGGUCAGCAUAUCCAGCCCAGUCCUCAGCCUCUCCAGCCUCUUGCGACCACAGCCAGAGCCUCAGCAGGAGCCUGUUCUCAUCACCAUGGCAACAGUGGUACUGACUGUCCUCACCCACACCCCUGCCCCUCGAGUGAGACUGGGACAAGAUGCUCUGCUGGACUUGAGCUUUGCCUACAUGCCCCCCACCUCCGAGGCCGCCUCAUCUCUGGCUCCGGGUCCCCCUCCCUUUGGGCUAGAGUGGCGACGCCAGCACCUGGGUAAGGGACAUCUGCUCCUGGCUGCAACUCCUGGGCUGAAUGGCCAGAUGCCAGCAGCCCAAGAAGGGGCCGUGGCAUUUGCUGCUUGGGAUGAUGAUGAGCCAUGGGGCCCAUGGACCGGAAAUGGGACCUUCUGGCUGCCUAGAGUUCAACCCUUUCAGGAGGGCACCUAUCUGGCCACCAUACACCUGCCAUACCUGCAAGGACAGGUCACCCUGGAGCUUGCUGUGUACAAACCCCCCAAAGUGUCCCUGAUGCCAGCAACCCUUGCACGGGCCGCCCCAGGGGAGGCACCCCCGGAAUUGCUCUGCCUUGUGUCCCACUUCUACCCUUCUGGGGGCCUGGAGGUGGAGUGGGAACUCCGGGGUGGCCCAGGGGGCCGCUCUCAGAAGGCCGAGGGGCAGAGGUGGCUCUCGGCCCUGCGCCACCAUUCCGAUGGCUCUGUCAGCCUCUCUGGGCACUUGCAGCCGCCCCCAGUCACCACUGAGCAGCAUGGGGCACGCUAUGCCUGUCGAAUUCACCAUCCCAGCCUGCCUGCCUCGGGGCGCAGCGCUGAGGUCACCCUGGAGGUAGCAGGUAAGAGCUGGGAGCUCUGCGGAAUCUGA
Molecule: unclassified non-coding RNA, 1239 nt
Filed under: Homo sapiens (human)
Lineage: Eukaryota; Metazoa; Chordata; Mammalia; Primates; Hominidae
Description: TAP binding protein (ENSG00000112493.12, ENSG00000206281.11, ENSG00000236490.9)
Source: RNAcentral